This 134-nucleotide non-coding RNA is filed under the name Enterocloster clostridioformis. Lineage: Bacteria; Bacillati; Bacillota; Clostridia; Lachnospirales; Lachnospiraceae. The record is from RNAcentral.
UUGCCAGUGAAAGUCUGGUCGGAGUAAUUGCCAGUGAGCUCCGUAACAAGCGUCCAGUGCUUUUGGGCAACUGAUUGUGCUGAGGCGAAGUAUGCCUAUGUGAAAUAGGUGCAAGUUAAUAGUCCGUAACAUUA